CCCCCAGUAAGGGCGACUGAACGGGGAGGAGCCCAGCGCGGAACCUCGCGCGCCUCGCCGGCUGCGUCUGAGGAAUGUCGCGUUCCGGAGGGGCCUUCUCCGACCACACCGACCCCCCCCAAGUCCGCUUGAACGCGGCCACUGCCCACGGAGGGUGCGAGGCCCGUACGGGGAUUAGGAGUCGGGCGGUCGGACGGCCCCGUCCGUAGAGUCGGGUUGCCUACUAACGCAGCCCAAAGCAGGUGGUAAACUCCAUCUAAGGCUAAAUAUGACCACGAGACCGAUAGCGAACAAGU
RNAcentral lists this ribosomal RNA (296 nucleotides) under Oratosquilla oratoria. Its description in RNAcentral is "partial large subunit ribosomal RNA". It matches the Rfam family "Eukaryotic large subunit ribosomal RNA", at positions 77 to 349 of the family's 3401-position model. Lineage: Eukaryota; Metazoa; Arthropoda; Malacostraca; Stomatopoda; Squillidae. RNAcentral also lists the same sequence under 4 other names. The record is from RNAcentral.